AAAUUGAAGAGUUUGAUCAUGGCUCAGAUUGAACGCUGGCGGCAGGCCUAACACAUGCAAGUCGAACGGUAACAGGAAGCAGCUUGCUGCUUUGCUGACGAGUGGCGGACGGGUGAGUAAUGUCUGGGAAACUGCCUGAUGGAGGGGGAUAACUACUGGAAACGGUGGCUAAUACCGCAUAAUGUCGCAAGACCAAAGAGGGGGACCUUCGGGCCUCUUGCCAUCAGAUGUGCCCAGAUGGGAUUAGCUUGUUGGUGAGGUAACGGCUCACCAAGGCGACGAUCCCUAGCUGGUCUGAGAGGAUGACCAGCCACACUGGAACUGAGACACGGUCCAGACUCCUACGGGAGGCAGCAGUGGGGAAUAUUGCACAAUGGGCGCAAGCCUGAUGCAGCCAUGCCGCGUGUAUGAAGAAGGCCUUCGGGUUGUAAAGUACUUUCAGCGGGGAGGAAGGUGUUGCGGUUAAUAACCGCAGCAAUUGACGUUACCCGCAGAAGAAGCACCGGCUAACUCCGUGCCAGCAGCCGCGGUAAUACGGAGGGUGCAAGCGUUAAUCGGAAUUACUGGGCGUAAAGCGCACGCAGGCGGUCUGUCAAGUCGGAUGUGAAAUCCCCGGGCUCAACCUGGGAACUGCAUUCGAAACUGGCAGGCUUGAGUCUUGUAGAGGGGGGUAGAAUUCCAGGUGUAGCGGUGAAAUGCGUAGAGAUCUGGAGGAAUACCGGUGGCGAAGGCGGCCCCCUGGACAAAGACUGACGCUCAGGUGCGAAAGCGUGGGGAGCAAACAGGAUUAGAUACCCUGGUAGUCCACGCCGUAAACGAUGUCUACUUGGAGGUUGUGCCCUUGAGGCGUGGCUUCCGGAGCUAACGCGUUAAGUAGACCGCCUGGGGAGUACGGCCGCAAGGUUAAAACUCAAAUGAAUUGACGGGGGCCCGCACAAGCGGUGGAGCAUGUGGUUUAAUUCGAUGCAACGCGAAGAACCUUACCUGGUCUUGACAUCCACAGAACUUUCCAGAGAUGGAUUGGUGCC
This 1028-nucleotide ribosomal RNA is filed under the name Salmonella enterica subsp. enterica. RNAcentral describes it as "bacterial SSU rRNA". It matches the Rfam family "Bacterial small subunit ribosomal RNA", at positions 1 to 1018 of the family's 1533-position model. The record is from RNAcentral. Lineage: Bacteria; Pseudomonadati; Pseudomonadota; Gammaproteobacteria; Enterobacterales; Enterobacteriaceae.